AUUUUCAUAGUUUAAUUUAAAACAUUACACUGAAAAUGUAAAAAUAGGUUUUGAAAAUA
This 59-nucleotide transfer RNA is filed under the name Rhipicentor nuttalli. Its description in RNAcentral is "tRNA-Phe". It matches the Rfam family "tRNA". From Rfam's summary of the family: Transfer RNA (tRNA) molecules are approximately 80 nucleotides in length. Their secondary structure includes four short double-helical elements and three loops (D, anti-codon, and T loops). The record is from RNAcentral. Lineage: Eukaryota; Metazoa; Arthropoda; Arachnida; Ixodida; Ixodidae.